Long non-coding RNA from Mercenaria mercenaria, 1222 nucleotides. RefSeq lists it as uncharacterized. The record is from RefSeq and is a predicted model, not a curated record. NCBI's taxonomy places the organism in Eukaryota, Metazoa, Mollusca, Bivalvia, Venerida, Veneridae. The transcript is spliced from 3 exons.
UCAAUCAAGGGGAUGUCCUAGAGGCGUGGCUUAUAAAAGAAGGAUUGCCCAGUGGAGAUGUAUUAAUGUUAAAAGGCUUGGCUAAUGUGAAUACAUUAAACAAAUAUUUUGAAUUGAGAGGCAUGGUUUAUGAAAACAAGAUUGAUGUAAAUGGAAAAUGUAUGAGGAACUCAGUGUAGGUUUGAAGAGGCGUGGCUUAUGAAAUGAUGAACGGAGAGUGUUGCAACUGAAACAGUAAGGUCGCAUGAUAUUUUGCAAUGUUUGAUUCAUAUAUUUUAUUGCAAGUUGGCCACAAUAUUGAUGUAAAAUAUUAGUCCAGGUACGUAGAGGGAUACAAUGCGAGUGAAAAUUUCCUGAAAUCAUUACAAUACAUGUACUUCUAAACGUUGCAAAAUAUGAAUUUGAACUCCUCCUGAAUAUGCUACUUAUUUAAAUUUUCAAGUUUUAGAGCUUAUGUUGUCCCACUCUCUAGUAUGAAGCAUGUGUCCUAAUAACAAAAGUUUUGGAUAUAAGCAGGUUUCUCAGCACUUGUUGGACAACUUUUAAACUCCACAUCAAGUGACCUCCAUAACUUUUAUUUCCUUCUUAACAAAAUAAUUCUACCUAAGGUGGUUUAGUGGAAACUAAGUUUGUGUAUAAGCUGGUUUCUUAGCAAGUGCAGAACUUAACACUCCUUGGCUGCAGUUAAAGGGGCUGCCACAAGUAAAUAUAGAAGAGACUGUAAAGGACUGCUGAGGCAAACUUGCUCUAUAAAACCCUUUAAUGUGUCUAUCAUAAAUCUGGAACAGCUUAGGCUCAGAAUAAAUUUAAUAAAUUUAAAUAAUAUUAAAAUAAUAAAUAAUUUGAGUGUUGUUAUAUUUUCAGGUCCUUUCAGAUAGUGGAUUCCAUUAAAUGUUAAUGGAUAUUAGAGUACUGUUGGGGUUGAGUGGGGUUGCAUAUUACAUUACCUAUCAGUCAAAUUACGUCUGUUUUCAUCAAGGUAUGAAGUUUGACAUCUAGACUUAGCAUUUGGCUACCUUGUACAUGUGAGAACUAGCUCCUGCUAUCUUUCACUACUUUGGAUUUGCUGUUGAUCAAAUACAAGGGAGGACGUCACAUUGUCAUCAUGGCAGGAGGAAAUUUCAUCCUGAAAGCGGUACUCCUUUUAGUUGUAGUUGCUGUGAUAAAAGCAAAACCACCGUGGGCGGAACAGAAAAGCAACUGUAAAAAAAAUUUUCCUGAU